GGAAAAGAAAGAAACAAAGAAAGAAGGGGAAGAAGAAGAAGGGAAGAAGAAGAAGGAAGAAUGGCUAGAUUUUUGAGGUUUCUCUAGCAAGGAUGGAUGCCGGCAAGGGGAAGAGAGGGAGAGUGGUCUAAAAGCAAGAAAUUAGAGAGAGAAAAGGAGAAAGAUGAUGAAUAGGAGCAGAAACAGGGGUUGAGCAGGGGUGGAAACUUUGUCUUCCGUCCAGGUGAGUUU
RNAcentral lists this unclassified non-coding RNA (231 nucleotides) under Hevea brasiliensis (rubber tree). The record is from RNAcentral. Lineage: Eukaryota; Viridiplantae; Streptophyta; Magnoliopsida; Malpighiales; Euphorbiaceae.